CUCAUUCACCUUUUAUGUGUUUCCCCUAUGACUCCAUAUGCAUUCACUAUUUUCAGCCGAACGGUCGGCUCUUUCUCCCUAUUUGGCUAGAAUUCUGCCGCGAAUCUCGCGAGAUUGCCGGCGGCCAUUUUCAAUCACUCACUUUUCUCCCCAUUCCUCGUGUCCUCUUCCUAUCUGCCGGUCUGGACCCUGGUGAGCUCCCUCAUUUUCUCCCUUUUAGCUAUAACUAGCCUGGGGUGAUUAACUCCUGCUAGUUGCAUCCUCAUCUCUUAGAACAGUGCUUCCUAAUAUUUAGC
This is a non-coding RNA of Pelobates cultripes (western spadefoot toad), 296 nucleotides long. The record is from the annotation of a GenBank genome assembly. NCBI's taxonomy places the organism in Eukaryota, Metazoa, Chordata, Amphibia, Anura, Pelobatidae.